GGACAACCAUAUUGCCUACAGACCAGCAUGUGAGCUGGGGGAACAAACAAGGGAAAGACUGAAAGAAAAACAAAGCUUAAACAGAGAAAGUAGUUCCUGGUCACACGCAACUGGUGUGAUGAAAAACUUCUGGAAGGUCAAGGAAUGAAGUGCAUAUCACAGGAUCUGAAAUCACAACAUAAUGCGAAAAUUGAAGCUCAUCUCAGAGACAUUCUGGUAUCAGUUCUUCAGAAAAUGUGACCUGCCAGCUCUGCCUCAAUAUGCUCUAUCUCUAUCUUGUACCUGUGACGUGUUUGGCAUGUGGGCUGUUUAGAGGUCUUUCAGAGCAAGGCCCAGCAUACGUCUUUUGAUGUGCUGGAUCAAUAAAGUUAUCAAGAAGUCAGGUGACACCAUGGGAGUUGAAGAUGGACAUAUGGGUCACUGAUCGACCAGAGAUCACUGGGCAAACCUCUCUUUAUCUUCACACCCUCUCUAGCGGCAAAGGAGCUCUUUCUCAAAGAAAUGGAAACUUCAGCAGGUGGAUGCAGAGUUUUUCAUGGAAAAGAUCAAGCAUGAUAAGAGUGUGAAGGGUUCUGUUUAUUACAGUAGAGAGAUAAACAAGGUGAUGUUCUUUUCCCCAUGACAUCCUCCAAGACAUUUGCCAUUGUAUUAUAGGACUAGUUUAAUUACAGAUCAGUUUGUUAUUGUCAUUCAUCAUUUAUAGUCAUCAUCUCUUUUAUCUGCUAAGUCAAUGUUUUGUGUCAGGCUGCAUGAUAACGCUGUUUCAAGUAUGCUGGGAAGAGCAGUUCCAUUUUAGCCACAAAGGGAACCUGCAGUUUUUUUUUAUUGGGGAGGAGGUUAAAAUGUG
Long non-coding RNA from Syngnathus typhle (broad-nosed pipefish), 847 nucleotides. RefSeq lists it as uncharacterized. The transcript has 6 exons. NCBI's taxonomy places the organism in Eukaryota, Metazoa, Chordata, Actinopteri, Syngnathiformes, Syngnathidae. The record is from RefSeq and is a predicted model, not a curated record.